Molecule: ribosomal RNA, 207 nt
Filed under: uncultured bacterium
Lineage: Bacteria
Description: partial 16S ribosomal RNA
Rfam family: Bacterial small subunit ribosomal RNA
Source: RNAcentral
CGCGUAGGCGGACUUUCAAGUCGGAUGUGAAAUCCACAGGCUUAACUUGUGGCUUGCAUUCGAUACUGUUGGUCUUGAGUAUAUCAGAGGAAAGCGGAAUUCCAGGUGUAGCGGUGAAAUGCGUAGAUAUCUGGAAGAACACCAGUAGCGAAGGCGGCUUUCUGGGGUAAUACUGACGCUGAAGCGCGAAGGCUAGGGGAGCAAACA